GUGAAUCAUCGAAUUUUUGAACGCAAAUUGCACUCUCCUCGGAGAGUAUGAGUGUUUGAGGGUCAGCCUAUAAAAAAUCGACAUCGUUGUUGUUUAGCGGUGGCGUUCGUGGGAAAUGGGGUCAUGUUAAUUCCUUUUGAUUUUUAAGAGAUUUAAAAUUUUUUUUUUGGUUACAUGAAGGUUUCUAAGAUUUAUUUUUUUAUUCUUUUAGGUUAUCG
RNAcentral lists this unclassified non-coding RNA (218 nucleotides) under Glomeromycota sp. Its description in RNAcentral is "partial contains 5.8S ribosomal RNA and internal transcribed spacer 2". The stretch from base 1 to 65 matches the Rfam family "5.8S ribosomal RNA", at positions 84 to 154 of the family's 154-position model. Lineage: Eukaryota; Fungi; Glomeromycota. The record is from RNAcentral.